Molecule: ribosomal RNA, 424 nt
Filed under: Osteocephalus taurinus group sp. ABGD cluster 12
Lineage: Eukaryota; Metazoa; Chordata; Amphibia; Anura; Hylidae
Description: partial large subunit ribosomal RNA
Rfam family: Bacterial large subunit ribosomal RNA
Source: RNAcentral
CUUGAAUAUCUAUAAGAGGUCCAGCCUGCCCAGUGACUUUGUUCAACGGCCGCGGUAUCCUAACCGUGCGAAGGUAGCGUAAUCACUUGUCUUUUAAAUGGGGACUUGUAUGAAUGGCAUCACGAGGGUUAUACUGUCUCCUUUUUCUAAUCAGUGAAACUAAUCUUCCCGUGAAGAAGCGGGAAUAAACAUAUAAGACGAGAAGACCCUAUGGAGCUUUAAACUCAAUAACAAAUACUAACCUUACAUCAACUUUCAGAAGAUCAACCUUAAUUUUAGUAUUAUGAUUGUUAGUUUUAGGUUGGGGUGACCGCGGAGUAAAAAUUAACCUCCACACUGAACGGGACCUGUCCCUGAGCCAAGAACUACAGCUCGAAGCACCAACAAAUUGACAUUAAUUGACCCAAUAUUUUGAUCAACGAAC